This is a long non-coding RNA of Girardinichthys multiradiatus, 1174 nucleotides long. RefSeq lists it as uncharacterized. NCBI's taxonomy places the organism in Eukaryota, Metazoa, Chordata, Actinopteri, Cyprinodontiformes, Goodeidae. The record is from RefSeq and is a predicted model, not a curated record. The transcript is spliced from 3 exons.
UUCCUAAGAACCUGAAGUGGUCCACGCCGAUACAGAGUUGUUGAGGAUGGUGGACUCUGUUUGGCUUUGUGUUUUGCUUUUCAGUUGGGUAUCUUUAUUCUUUGGCCUUAGCAGUUUUGUUAGUUUAUUUCUCCAGUCAAUUUGAUGUUACAUUUGUUCUCUUUCCAGCUCUUCCUUAUAGGUUAGCUUUAGUUUGUACAUAUUCUGGUUCUCUUGUUCUGUUUCCUUUCCUGUCAAUUCAGUCAGUGUGGUUAGGUUCGUUUACUUUAUGGGCUCUUUCUUUGUUCUUAGGUUGUUGUUGGUGUUCCUAUGUUCCCUCUAGUUUCUCUGUUUACUUUAGUUCAUGGCUAUUCUACUUUUCUUAUGCUUCACUUUAUUGUUUUUUUUUAGUCACUUCGCCUUUGCUCAGCUUUUGUAUUUGUUUCACCUGUUCCUUCUGUCUCCUUGCCUCCUUGUCACACCUGUUCUUAGUUCCUUUGAUUACCUGCCUUUGUCUCCCUCUGUAUAUUAGUUGGUUUUGUUUCAUUGUGCUUUGCUGGUUUCUUCUGUUACUCCCCUGAUUCCGUUUUGCUACGUUCCUGCAGAGAGUACUUCUGUAAGUUUUGGUCUCGACUUUUGUUAGUUCCUGCAGUGAAUUUUGCUAGGUUUUUUGUAAAAACCUCUGGAAUAAAAACUGAAGACUUCUUACAACAUGCAGCUGCCCAGCUCUUGUCUGCACUUUGGUCCGAUCCAAACUCAGAACGUAACAAAAAUGCAUAGCUGAAAAGCUCAGCAAGUUACCAUACAGGAGGCAGAGGUCAUGACCCCUCUCAUUCCCCUCUCGGAGCCCAGGUCAAGGGGUCAGGCCAAGAACCAGCAAAGCCCUCCCAAUGAAGGAACUUCCCAACCCAGACCAUUCCAGACACUCCAACUGGCAACACAUGCUGAAUAGAAAUCUGAACAGUUCCAACCAGGACAAACCCAACCCAAACGCAUGGGACUGAUUUUCUGUUGUAACUGUCAGCAGACUGUACUUUUGCAAUGAAAACUCAUUAUGAGAUGGGAGAUAAAACUUACAGCCUGCACUCCGGAGGAGAGGAUCGCGAGGGAGAGGGAAAGAAGCAGCAGCAGCCUGUUGAUUAAAACACACUCUUAUAAAUCAUAAUAAAUAAAUGAAUAAAUAAUAUGCAUAUUA